RNAcentral lists this long non-coding RNA (2662 nucleotides) under Manduca sexta (tobacco hornworm). RNAcentral describes it as "uncharacterized LOC115443157". Lineage: Eukaryota; Metazoa; Arthropoda; Insecta; Lepidoptera; Sphingidae. The record is from RNAcentral.
UACGCGCUAUAAACUUCUGUUAUUAUUGCUCAUAAUCGUCAUAUUUAAGGCAAACAUUAAAGGUACCAUACACAGGGUUGGCGGGAUAAAUAUUUUUGAUUCAAUAAAAGCGGAUUUCCUCAAUUUAGUGCAGAUAUUUUUGAAGCGAAGAUUCUACGUUAUUUCUUAUACAUCCGCUAAAUAUCCGUCAGAAAAAGUCCUUUAGGAUUGAGGGACUUACAGACAUAAAAACAGUCAAAUUUAUUGCAACCGGUUUUUAGUUUUACAAAUACUUCCGGUGUCAAAACCAAGACAGACGACAGUAGGUCAAGUUAACGCCAGCGGUUACAUAACAUAUUAAGAAAAAGUUAUUUUGGAAAUUGCAAACAGAGAUUUAAAUUUUAUUGAAGUGAUCAAUUCUUAUUAAUAGAAAACAGAUUUUUUUAAAACAUUAAUUAUAGCGUGACGUACAUAUACAUACAUAUGUGGGAAUAAUACGAACGUUUACUAAUAAUAUUCAGAUGGAAAAAUGUUUGACUAUUUUACACGAAAUUCUGACAUCGUUAUUCAAAUGCAGCGGUUAGCACACAUACAUUUCAGAGAAAUAUCGCGAGGAAACAGACAGAUGGAUAAUACGACAAAGUAACAGGUUGCCGUUGACACAAAAUAAAUCAUGACAGGACUGUUAUUAAUUUUCGAAACACUUGCGUAUUUGACGCAAGAAACACGAUCCCGGAUGAGAAAUUACGAUAUAAAACAUUGUUUCAGGGAUUAGAUUAAUGCCGUGCGGUAACAUUCAGUAAGGGAAACUGGAUGCGAAGUAGUGACAUUUUGCCAAAGCGUUUUAUAAGGGAAUGGGAUAUUGUCUCUCUGAAGCAAAUCAACUAUACGCGCUAAUCGGGGCUGUAUUUAAUAGCGUACGGAUAACAAUACGUCUAUAAACUAAGAGUCAAGACGUAAAAUGACAUUACCUUUUUAUUAUCAUUGCCAACGCGAAUAUAAUUAUGAUCAGCGGUCUAUUUAGAACCUGAAUUUAAAGCUUAAAAUAAAGACGUGAAUGGAUAAUAUGAUUAGUUUUAUAUUUAGAUAUUAAUGGAUUAGUUUAAGAUAAUUUAGCGAAAUCAUGGUUUUAUUUUGCAAGUUUGAUGACCUCGAAGACCAUUUAACUGAGUUUAAGUAAUGCGUUUUGCUAUUGUCGCUAGGGAAUUAAAUGCAAGCUGCGGUGUAAUUACACUAAAGACAUCUGACUGUGAUGUUAAUAGUUGAGUGUUUGUGUCACGUUGCUCGAGUGACAAACUCGGAAUAAAAGGACAUAAUCACUUGGGAGUAGCGCUUAGAGCGCAGGAGAGAAUCAUCGUGAUCAGCCAUCACGAAACAAUGCAAUCUACAAAGUUUGAACGAAUAAUAUUACGCCGGCCAUUUAAUAUUGUCUUUUUAAUGGGUGUAAAGUCUGCUAAUAAAAAUGUCGUUCUUGCAUGAUAAUAAAUAAAUCUGUAAAUAUGUACUAAAUUUAUAAAGAGGUAUAGUUUGGAUGCCAACAUAUCCCCUGGAAUUAUGUCUGAAAUAACAGAUUUGAAAUUCAAAAUUGUUUCUCUAAUUUGAAACUAAAUGAUCUCUGAUUGCUGUUGACCACGUUUAAGCUCGACAAUGGAUAUCCCAUUACUUUAACGUGAUAAAAAUUGUUUAUAAUACACAAAAUUGACAAUAUAUCGACUGUAAAAUUGAUACAUGUUCUAUAAAACAACACACAUAACGACUACACCAUACCACAUUAUUUUCAGUACUUAUACUUAUGAAGACUUGUAUCUACGAACAAACUCUGGCAUGAAAUCAAAUUUCUUUGGUAAAAUAUUCUUUGAGACUUUUUAAUUUAAAGGCUGACCCGUCUACUUGUUUUUGUCCUCACAUUCUGUGAUACCAACUUAAAAUAUCAAUGUCAAAGUUCAACGUAUCCAUGCACUCUAAUCCAAACGCAAUGAUGUAAUUAUUUAAAAUAAAUAUUAGAGGUUAUCAUUAAAAUGCCCACAAAAUGUAUUAUAAAAAUGCCGUUACUGAUAUAUAAGCAUAAACUGGUUUUUGUUUUGUUACAUAUCAAUAAAAUUCUAAUAUACUUGACCCUUAAACUAAAACGGCACAUUUUAUUAAUUUAAUUUCUAUCAUAAAAUAAAUUAUUAAGGUCUAUUUUUGCAGUUUGGGCAGAAGGAAAGGUGACAUCAGACCCUCGUAUCUAUAAUAUCUGGUGCCAAUAAUUGGAGAUAAUGGUGUUAAUCGCAGAGAGAUGACUGCGAUUGAAGCUAAUGUAUCAAUUAACAUAAAUUGAUGGAUGUUGCGAUGUGUUCUCCGUUUGUACGACGCAACGUGAUUAUUAACGUUCCGAAUCGUCUCUUGAAACGUGAGGGUGAGCUAUGCGCAGGUGGGAAGGGUCCUACUCCGACCUUUGGCAUUCUCCUACUCGAUGCCGCAGAAGCCUAAUGGACUUUUAUGGACCUUCUAAUGAAAUUGUGUGUACCCAGACCUCAUCUGAGUGCCAAUUGACAUAUCAUGUUACCUACUCUAAUGAACAUAGUAAGAUUUUAAGAGAUAUUUUCAUCGCGCUUCAAUAUCUUUAUGUUUUAAGACAGAAAUUGUAAUGUUUUAGUAUUUAAAUUAUUUAAACUAUUAAAGAUAAUGUUUAAUGAGUCCA